Molecule: long non-coding RNA, 2158 nt
Organism: Columba livia (rock pigeon)
Lineage: Eukaryota; Metazoa; Chordata; Aves; Columbiformes; Columbidae
Exons: 2
Source: RefSeq, a predicted model, not a curated record
GUCUCACCAACAAAGGUUUGAAAAAGUGAAGUUCAAUGCCCAGUUGUGAGGCAGUCUCCAGUAGAUACUAUUGUUAGGUUCAGCAAAAGCACAUUUACUGAGUAUAAAAGUAGGGCAGCAGCACUGAAAAGCCAGGGGGAUAUUCCCGUACUGCCAGAUUCAUUCAUGUGAAUGCAGCAGAAGCAGUCCACCUUUGUAAGAUCUCUAAUGAACGCUCCUUGUACAAAAGAAGUUCAUCUCAUCAAAAUGUUAUUGAAGAGGCACCAUGCUCUGCUGACAACUCAAAGAGACUAUGUCAGAUGGGACUGAAAAUACAAUCCAGGAGUGCCUCACAUGGAUCAGCCGAGAGUAUGUAAAUAUAAUUCAAACAUCAUAAUCAGUCCUCAAGUUUUCCACGUGCCAGCAAAGAUGCAGAAUUAAUGCCACAGGAACCUGUGUGAAACAUCUUGCUAAUAGCAAGUUUUACAAAUAAUUCGUAUCAGUUGGUUUUGUUUACAUGCAUAAAUAUUGAUAUCUGAUCUUUUUUCAUACACUGCAGCAAAAAGUAUGGCAAGUGGAGUCAUAACCCCAAGCUGAUUCAAUUCAUCCUGAUAGAACCAGUUCUUCUCUUCAACUAAAAAAAAUCAGUACACAAAAACCACAAGUUCUCUUGUCUACUAAUUCUCUUAAAUUUUCCCAGGAGGAGGACAGAUUCCGGAAACUAUAAAAAGGCUGCUGUCCUUAUUGUAGGAACAUGAAAGUGUCCCUUACAACUGAUGAUACUUCCAUAUGACAGCUGCCAGGGGCACUAAUUAUUGCCCUAUAGUCUUCACAUCUGUGUGCCUAUUAGCAAUUAUUAGCUCACCGAACUUCAGAUGAUUGCUUUAUUUCUAUCUACAAUAGAUUCCACAUUCAAAGAGUUGGUAUACGAACCACUCAAACAAUGGUUUGAAAACGUCUUUCAUAAAUUUCAGACCGUCAUUCAAUUGAACUUGGCAUCAUUUUAAAUGACAGUUAAACCCUGCAAGUGGAUAGCUACUCUAAAUGACCAGAUAAUCAUAUAAUGUUGGCCACUUAAUUAGAAAAUGCUUCAGAUCCUAGAUUUUCUGCUGUUUAACAAUGACCACAAUCCACCUGAUUGUAGACUUCUUCAAAUUCAGUCUGACAUACAGAGAAAUUGUACAUAAGGAAUGCAAACAUGAUAAAUGCCUCCAUCAAUGGACAUCUCAUAAAAAUAAUUUUUGUGAAAACAUUCUGUCUGGUGGACUCAUCAGAUCAGUUGACAAAGAUAACAGCAUUAAUGCAACAGACUUCUGUAAACUCUGUGUAACACAAGCAGUGAUAUUACUUUGACCUUGUGUGUAUAAAAAAAAAAAAUAUUCUUCAAAUACACUUUUUCUGGUUCCAGCAUUUCUAAAUACUCUGUUAAAAAAUCUGAAGAGAGAAAACUAAAUUUAAUGCAAUCUAGAAAGCAGGCUCUGUAAUGACAAUACUUCAGAUGUUCAAAUUGAGUACUCAGCAGAAGUUUUGAAGGUUAACUGAACACUGACACUAUGAAAAAUUUAAAAGAUCCUAUACUUAGAAUCUGAAGAUAGAUAACCCAUAGAAAGGCAAGUACAUUUUUAACAGUAAACAAUAAAUAGAAACUGGAAAACCUACUGGGGAAAAAGCAGCUUUUCAUGGAGUCUUUACAUGAACAAAGCUUCUCUUUUUAUAAAAUCUUCUUUUUAACAUCCCUUUUCAAAACACACUGAGAACUACUGAGGUAGUUAAGAACUCUCUUCUAGCUGAUUCUGAGACUUCAUGCUUCUUGCCUAAAAUUUCCAGUAAAAUUGCCUUGUAUAAACAACAGCAGUGGACAUAUAAUGAAAAAUGCAAUCAAUGUCUUACAAAAAAUGUAAACAUUUUGCCAAAAUGUAUUAUUUGUCAUGUUUUUUAAUUUUUGGAGAAAUAUGGCUAGUGGAAUUUCACUUGGUAUCACAUCUCUGUUUUCCUGUCUGCUGGAUGUCCAUAUCACACAGUGUUCCUAUUGUUCACACAAGUCAUUUAACGCAUCAAGAAUAUUGUGAUGGUUCUUGGAUAAGUCAGUACAUUAUACUUAUUUACUUUAAGAAAGGACUGAAACUGACAUAAAUGACAGCUUGAAUAAAGAUAUGAAUUCAUAAUGUCAUCUAGAAAA